GACGAACGCUGGCGGCGUGCCUAAUACAUGCAAGUAGAACGCUGAAGAGAGGAGCUUACUCUUCUUGGAUGAGUUGCGAACGGGUGAGUAACGCGUAGGUAACCUGCCUUGUAGCGGGGGAUAACUAUUGGAAACGAUAGCUAAUACCGCAUAACAAUGGAUGACACAUGUCAUUUAUUUGAAAGGGGCAAUUGCUCCACUACAAGAUGGACCUGCGUUGUAUUAGCUAGUAGGUGAGGUAAUGGCUCACCUAGGCGACGAUACAUAGCCGGCCUGGGAGGGUGGUCGGCCCACCUGGGACCGGGACAAGGCCCAGACUCCUUCGGGAGGCAGCCGUAGGGAAUCUUCGGCCAUGGGGGCAAACCUGACCGCGCCACGCCGCGUGAGUGAAGAAGGUUUUCGGAUCGUAAAGCUCUGUUGUAAGUCAAGAACGGGUGUGAGAGUGGAAAGUUCACGCUGUGACGGUAGCUUACCAGAAAGGGACGGCUAACUACGUG
RNAcentral lists this ribosomal RNA (497 nucleotides) under uncultured bacterium. Its description in RNAcentral is "partial 16S ribosomal RNA". It matches the Rfam family "Bacterial small subunit ribosomal RNA", at positions 28 to 507 of the family's 1533-position model. The record is from RNAcentral.